AUGGAAUAUAUUGGUUUGAGCAAUUUAAGUGAUCUGGUGACACGUGGAUUUUUCAGAGAAGAGAAAGAUGAUGGUCAUUGGUACUGCUGUUGUGAUUUGCCAAAAGACUUGACCAACCUUGCAAAGUUGUGCCGUUUUUAUACCCCAAGUGAGGAGGCGCGUAGUUUGUAUGACCUAAGUGAUGAGAUGCAUUCUCAAAUUUGUAAUGUGGAGAAACUCAGAUUCUUAGAAGAGUUAAAGGUAUUUAGAGUCAGCAAAGAAAGUGAAGGAUUUGAACCAAAGCAACUAGAGCAUUUGGCUGAACUAAGGGAGCUUGGCAUCUAUAACCUUGAGAAUAUAAACAAGGAAGAAGAAGCCACCAAAGCAAAUCUAGGAGAGAAAAACUACUUGGAGAGCUUAACAUUAAAUUGGUAUAUGGCUCAUAUCCCCUGGACUGAAACUCUGCGCAAUGUGAACAUAAGUGAUGUAAAGCUACUAGAAAAGUUUGAGUACUCAACAUCAUCCUACAGUGGAUUUGAAAUUGAAAUUAUUGGAAAGGAUGAUCUGGAGAGCUUAGAUCAGGUGCUAGCAUUCAGUAACCUGGCAGUUCUCGAGAAGCUGAGACUUAGCAAGUUCCCACCUAUGGAUUUGAAGCACCUUCUAAUGCUAACCUCAUUGAAGAAAUUGGUUGUAGAUUGUUUAGAUGGUGUUGUUGGGCGAGUAGGAGAUGCGUGUGAUGUGGAAUGGCAGCACCGUGUUGAGCAUCUGGUGGUCCAGAAAUCAAGUGGGGAGGAAUUAACAGAGCUCCUCACCCACCUCCCAACGCUCUCCAAUCUGGGAAUCUAUAGGUGUGAAAAGAUAACACAGCUGUCAGUGGAGAUGCCCCAACUCUCUGUUGGCUCUCCUUCAUGCCGCCCUUUCCCAUCCUUCCUGCAAAACCUCGAUAUUGUCGGUGUGGAAGGCAUGGGGACGUUGGAGCCACUCUCAAACCUCACCUCUCUCACCCGAUUAUAUUUGGCGGACUGCGGAGAGGAUCUAAGAUGCAAGGGCCUAGGGUCUAUCAUUACUGCAAGGGGACAACUCAGAGAAUUAGUCAUCUAUAGCUUCCCUAGAUUCUUUGCUGGAUGGGAUCCUCAUCCCAGGAAGGCGCAGCUGCAUGAUGGAGGAGAAGUGCAGGAUCUGCAACAGCUUGUUUCCCCACUAAGUUCAUCCAAAUUGCAGAAGCUUUGUUUUGAGUGGGCCACGGGACUCCUUGUUGCGCCCAUCUGCAGAUUCCUGUCUUCCUCCCUAACCUGCUUGUUCCUUUAUGGGGAGAAAAAGAUGGAGCGCUUUACCAAUGAGCAAGAGGUCGCCCUUCACCUCCUCACCUCCCUCCAAGAACUCGAGUUUCGGUUUUUCGAAAAGCUUCAGAGCCUCCCUGCAGGGCUGCACAAGCUUCCCAGUCUCAAGAAAUUACAGCUCUCUUCAUGUCCAGCCGUCCGGUCGCUGCCCAAGGAUGGCGUCCCCAAAUCACUACAAGAAUUAGAUGUCGGUUGGUGCAAAAACAAGGAGCUAAGACAAGAGUGCAGGGUGUUAGUGGGAACCAUCCCAAAAAUCAAAGUGCAUCCUUUGGACUGA
Molecule: ribosomal RNA, 1596 nt
Filed under: Triticum aestivum (bread wheat)
Lineage: Eukaryota; Viridiplantae; Streptophyta; Magnoliopsida; Poales; Poaceae
Description: partial small subunit ribosomal RNA
Source: RNAcentral